This 497-nucleotide ribosomal RNA is filed under the name uncultured bacterium. Its description in RNAcentral is "partial 16S ribosomal RNA". It matches the Rfam family "Bacterial small subunit ribosomal RNA", at positions 28 to 507 of the family's 1533-position model. The record is from RNAcentral.
GAUGAACGCUGGCGGCGUGCCUAAUACAUGCAAGUCGAGCGAACGGACGAGAAGCUUGCUUCUCUGAUGUUAGCGGCGGGCGGGUGAGUAACACGUGGAUAACCUACCUAUAAGACUGGGAUAACUUCGGGAAACCGUAGCUAAUACCGGAUAAUAUUUUGAACCGCAUGGUUCAAUAGUGAAAGACGGUCUUGCUGUCACUUAUAGAUGGAUCCGCGCUGCAUUAGCUAGUUGGUAAGGUAACGGCUUACCAAGGCAACGAUGCAUAGCCGACCUGAGAGGGUGAUCGGCCACACUGGAACUGAGACACGGUCCAGACUCCUACGGGAGGCAGCAGUAGGGAAUCUUCCGCAAUGGGCGAAAGCCUGACGGAGCAACGCCGCGUGAGUGAUGAAGGUCUUCGGAUCGUAAAGCUCUGUUAUUAGGGAAGAACAUAUGUGUAAGUAACUGUGCACAUCUUGACGGUACCUAAUCAGAAAGCCACGGCUAACUACGUG